Molecule: long non-coding RNA, 4524 nt
Filed under: Gossypium barbadense (sea-island cotton)
Lineage: Eukaryota; Viridiplantae; Streptophyta; Magnoliopsida; Malvales; Malvaceae
Description: long non-coding RNA (GBAR_LNC013054)
Source: RNAcentral
AAUUAUGCUUAGUUUUAGUUAUUUUUUUAUCAAUCUUUUCUCUUUCUUCUUUGCCAACAAGUGCAAUUAUUCCAAAGGCUAAUGUUUCCCUUCCGAUACCUUCAUCGCAACUAGUAGAAAAUUUAUGCAAUGGCAAGGCAAUUCAAAAUCGCAGGUUUUGCUUGAAAGCACUUUCCACUCCAGAAGUUAUUGCGGCAAUGGAUACAACCCAACUAGGAACCCUCAUUAUGAAAUUAGGAGCAGCAAAUGCCAAAGCAACGUUGAAUGUAUAUAAUGAAAUAAUGAAGAAACCAGGUUCUCCCCAGGCUUUGAAAGCUCUUAAUUGUUGCGUUGAAGCUUACAAAUAUGCAAUCUUAUCAUUUGAAAUGGUAUCUUCAGAAUUGGUUGAAGAUCCCCAAACCGCAAACUAUGAUGUAGCUGUUAUAGGUCCCGAAAUUGCUAAUUGUGAAAAGGAACUGAUUAACGCAAAGGUUCAAGCACCUCGACUCCUUGCUGGGAAUCGAUUUAUAAAAUAUUAUGUCUCAAUGGGAUAUGAGAUAACAUCAACUCUCGAGCUUGAAAAUCCAAAUGAGUAUUAGGCAAAAAAAAAAGGGAAUAUGUAUAGAUAAUAAUGUGUGAAUUUGUUAUCUUGAUUGAUACAAUAUGAUAUUGAUGGCAUAGACUUGCUCCCAUUGUUGCUGUUGUUGAAGCUUUGAAUUAAUUUAAAUAAUCAUUGUAAAAUUGUAUAUUUUUUUCAUAUUCCAUUAAGUUAAUAAAUCCUUAAUAUUCCAAUCAUUAGCUAUUCAAAGUGGACUUAGAAUGAAAAGGAAAAUCCACAGAUCAAUAAGUAAAUAAAUCAAUUCUAAAAUAGAUUCAUUCCAUUAUAGAAUGAAAAAUAAAAGUACCUCUUGCUCCGAUAAGGGCUUACACUGCAUCAGCUGAGAAAUCUGUUUAUCCAAAUUAUCAUGUGAAUUCAAACCCACCGAAGAUUCGUUUCUUUUAAUUAUUCUUUAACCUUAGAUUCCCAAAAUUUCCUCAAACUUGUUCAUUCAAAAGAAAAAUAAAACCUGAUUUUUUUUCUUAGAAAGAAAAACGGGAUCAAAUUGUGCAAAUUUCAAUUUGUAAAACAAAAAUUGAUUUCAACAAUUAAUUUGAUCAUUAAUGAUUUCUCUAACUUUUAGAUACCAUAAAAAUUCAGUCCAAUGAAUAACAAAUUCCGCUUAUUCUGUUAAGAAAUUUUAUGUGACAUUUUUAUAUGUAAAAAUUCAGUCCAACCAGCAAUUUCAUAUGCCACCUAAUUUUAAAUGCAUUGAAGUUAUAACUAUAAACAGCUAGAUUAGAAUUAUUGUUCGGUAAACUAUCAAAAUAGUUACUUUUGUCACCUAUAUUUAAAAUAUUAUAUUUUAGUCACUUACGUUAUCAUAUUGUAAUAUUUUAGUCACUGAGUGUUAAUUGUCGUUAAAGGUGUAACGGUUAGCUGAUCUGACAAGUUAUAUCAUCAUUUCAACCGAAAAUUUUAGAUUAUACAAUUGGCCCCUAUAUUUUUUUCAUUUUGAAUUUUUUUUCUUUUAUAUUCUUUGAACUUUCUUUUUUUUCUUUAUUUUCCAUUCUCUUCUCCUUCUCCCUCUGUUUUCCCCUCUUCACCAUUUCUUUUAACGUAGUUUUUCUAUGUUUUCCAAUUGUUAAAACUAGUCCCUAUAUAUUUUUUUGAACAAUUUAAUUUUUUCUUUUUCUUUUUUUUUAUUUUCCUUUUCUUCUUCCCCUUUAUUUCACUCUCUUCUUAUAUUUUUCACUAUAGAAACAUAAAUUUUGCCUACCAAAGACUAGGUUAUUGAGAGAUCCAAAUUGGAUUCAACUUUCGCCUUUUCUUUUUUCAUAAACUUAAAAAAAGUUUUAACAAAUGAAAAACAUAGAAAAACUACGUUAAAUGAGAUAGAGAAGGAAGAAAAACAGAGGGAGAAGCAAAAGAGAAUGGAAAAUAAAGAAAAAAAAGAAGUUAAAAGAACGUAAAAGAAAAAAAUUAAAUUGCUCAAAGCGAAAAAAAUAUGAGGAUCAAUUGUAUAAUUUAACUUAAAAUUUUUGAUCGAAAUGAUGAUUUAACGUGCCACGUCAGUUUACCGUUACACCGUUAACAGCAACUAACGACUCAGUGACCAAAAUGUUACAACACGUUAACGUAAGUAACUAAAAUGUAACAUUUCAAACAUAAGUGACUAAAAUGUAACCUACGGUAAACAAAAGUACUAUAAGUCAUUGGGCUAUUAAGUAUUUUUUUUUAAGGCUAGCAAGCUUCAAGCAUCAAUUCGAUAAUUGAUAUUGUGGAUUAGUACCCAUCAAUGAGUAGAAGAAUGUAUCUUAGGUCAAAGUUGAUCUGACAGUCAAUGUUGGAGAUCGAAUAAAAAAGUUGUUUGGAUUUUGGCUCGUAAAUUUGUGACGGUAAAAGUUGUUCUAUUGAAAAAACUGAACCGUACAAGAAAAGGGAAAAGAGAGCUUUCAAUUAUUGUAGGUGCCGCAUUACAAAUGGAAAAGACUAUAUGUCAACGAUUUUAACAAUCCAGUGACUUAAAUGAAAACUUUUCCAUAGUUAUGUGACCAUUAAAUAAUUUUUUGAAGUUGAGUGACCAAAAUGUAAACUUACUAAUAGUUUAGUGACAUUUACUAUAGUUUAAGUCUUAUUGGUGUAGCCCCCUCUCUCAAUUAACAGCUUGACUUUUCGAUUUUAAAAACACUUUUUAAAAAUGUUUUGGAUGAUAGUUUUUUAUGAUAAAAACUUAUAGUUUAUAAUUAUUUUUUUUUAUUUUUUGUAUUUUUUUAGAGGGUUAAUAUGUAGUUUGCUCUUUAAAUUUAUCCAAAAACUCUUAGUUGAUACCUAAAUUUUUUUGUACUUAAUUGAUACCUGAGUUUGAAAAUUUUCACACGCAACACAUUAUCUCAAUUCGUUAACAACAUUAACUUUCUAAAGGUUAAUAUAUAGUUUGUCCCCCGAACUUAUCCAAAAGUACCUAAUUGUACAUGAAUUUGUCUAAAAAUAUAUAUUUUUAAAGUUUUUUAAUUUAAUUGAUGUCCACCAUGUGUCAUACUCAGAGGUUGUCACAAGUCACCAUUAGAUUGGCCAUUAGUGCCACGUCAGCACAAACUAAUAGUGUUAGUGUAGAGGUACCAAUCUAGGUGACGGAAUACAAGUUCAGGUACCAACUAAGUAUUUUGGACAAGUUUAAUGGGCAAACUACAUAUUAACCAUUUUUUAAAUGACAAAGAAAAACAAUACUAAAAACACAUUCAAUAUAUUAUUAUUUUUUAACAAUAAAUCGAACCGAUAUAAGGUUGAAAACUUUAAGCCUAAGCUUAGACCACGAACAAGCAAUAUAAUAAUAUAAAAGAACUACAAUAGUAAAAUUACUUUGUAAUAAUGUUGCCAACGACAUAUAAUAAAAUAUUAAGGAGAUUUCCACAAGCUUGGCAAAACAGUACAAUUCAACCUAUAAGAGUCACUUGUCUAGACAUCUCCCUAUUGAUUCUGAACAUCCUUUGGUAGGAAAUUUUAUGCAUUAUAUACCGAGGGGGAUGUUAGGAUGGAAACAUGUUUUGCUAUUGCCGGGGUGUUACAUGUAAACAAAAUGGAGAAUGAAAUCCUUGGAUAUAACCACUAUUUUGGGAGUAUUUCUAUUUUUGAAGCUGAAAUUUGUGGAUACUUGAUGGUUUUGCCAUUAUUCAGAGAAAGAGGUACAAGAAUGUGUUGAUACACAUGGAUAGCCUGGAAUUCGUUAAAGCUUUGCAGGUUAGCUGCUUGGCCAGUUCGUCCUCAGCCUUGAUAAGAAGGAUUCAUUUGUUUUUACAAAUUAUAGUCCAAUUACAAAUCAAGUGUAUUCCGAGAGAGAGGAAUAAAGUUGAUGACAGGCUUGCUAAGGUGGCUUCAGAUAGGAAUACAGAGGGGCAAGUGUUUGUUAAUUUCCCGAAGGAGAUGUUAGAUAAAUUUGGGUUUGAUAAAAUAGUUGAGUUUCCGUUUGUCAUUAUUUAGUAGGGUUGGUUUGUUUUAUUUACACACCAAAAGAAAAGUUGAUUGCAACCAAAAUUUUCAAUAAAAAGAGAAAAAUCAAUAUAAUUGUACAAUCAAACACUUAUAUUAGAAAAUAAAUUACUAAAUUAGUUUUGUUAACAAAAUUGUAAAAUAGCUUUAUUGUUAGAAUUGAUAAUAAUGUAUGUUAUCAUAACUAAGACUUAUCCAAAAAUAGAUUUGUUUUACCUUUAUAAAAAGUAGUAAAAUAAAUUAAAAAAUCACAAGAUCAAAAUUUGUAAUUAAAAAUAUCUCCAUAUCAUAGUCAACAAGACAAUGGCUCCUCCAUAUCAAUUAUGCUUAGUUUUAGUUAUUUUUUUAUCAAUCUUUUCUCUUUCUUCUUUGCCAACAAGUGCAAUUAUUCCAAAGGCUAAUGUUUCCCUUCCGAUACCUUCAUCGCAACUAGUAGAAAAUUUAUGCAAUGGCAAGGCAAUUCAAAAUCGCAGGUUUUGCUUGAAAGCACUUUCCACUCCAGAAGUUAUUGCGGCAAU